UAUGUAGGUCCCGAGCGUUGUCCGGAUUUAUUGGGCGUAAAGCGAGCGCAGGUGGUUUAUUAAGUCUGGUGUAAAAGGCGGUGGCUCAACCAUUGUAUGCAUUGGAAACUGGUAGACUUGAGUGCAGGAGAGGAGAGUGGAAUUCCAUGUGUAGCGGUGAAAUGCGUAGAUAUAUGGAGGAACACCGGUGGCGAAAGCGGCUCUCUGGCCUGUAACUGACACUGAGGCUCGAAAGUGUGGGGAGCAAACAGG
This 252-nucleotide ribosomal RNA is filed under the name uncultured bacterium. RNAcentral's name for it is "partial 16S ribosomal RNA". It matches the Rfam family "Bacterial small subunit ribosomal RNA", at positions 524 to 776 of the family's 1533-position model. The record is from RNAcentral.